AAAGAACCCCGGCGAGGGGAGUGAAAAAGAACCUGAAACCGUGUACGUACAAGCAGUGGGAGCACAGGUUUACCUGUGUGACUGCGUACCUUUUGUAUAAUGGGUCAGCGACUUAUAUUCUGUAGCAAGGUUAACCGAAUAGGGGAGCCGUAGGGAAACCGAGUCUUAACCGGGCGUUAAGUUGCAGGGUAUAGACCCGAAACCCGGUGAUCUAGCCAUGGGCAGGUUGAAGGUUGGGUAACACUAACUGGAGGACCGAACCGACUAAUGUUGAAAAAUUAGCGGAUGACCUGUGGCUGGGGGUGAAAGGCCAAUCAAACCGGGAGAUAGCUGGUUCUCCCCGAAAGCUAUUUAGGUAGCGCCUCGUGAAUUCAUCUCCGGGGGUAGAGCACUGUUUCGGCUAGGGGGCCAUCCCGGCUUACCAACCCGAUGCAAACUGCGAAUACCGGAGAAUGUUAUCACGGGAGACACACGGCGGGUGCUAACGUCCGUCGUGAAGAGGGAAACAACCCAGACCGCCAGCUAAGGUCCCAAAGUCAUGGUUAAGUGGGAAACGAUGUGGGAAGGCCCAGACAGCCAGGAUGUUGGCUUAGAAGCAGCCAUCAUUUAAAGAAAGCGUAAUAGCUCACUGGUCGAGUCGGCCUGCGCGGAAGAUGUAACGGGGCUAAACCAU
This 673-nucleotide ribosomal RNA is filed under the name Salmonella enterica subsp. enterica serovar Kentucky. RNAcentral's name for it is "partial 23S ribosomal RNA". It matches the Rfam family "Bacterial large subunit ribosomal RNA", at positions 518 to 1190 of the family's 2925-position model. Lineage: Bacteria; Pseudomonadati; Pseudomonadota; Gammaproteobacteria; Enterobacterales; Enterobacteriaceae. The record is from RNAcentral.